Molecule: ribosomal RNA, 490 nt
Filed under: uncultured bacterium
Lineage: Bacteria
Description: partial 16S ribosomal RNA
Rfam family: Bacterial small subunit ribosomal RNA
Source: RNAcentral
AUUGAACGCUGGCGGCAGGCCUAACACAUGCAAGUCGAAUGGUAACAGGAAACAGCUUGCUGUUUCGCUGACGAGUGGCGGACGGGUGAGUAAUGUCUGGGAAACUGCCUGAUGGAGGGGGAUAACUACUGGAAACGGUAGCUAAUACCGCAUAACGUCGCAAGACCAGAGAGGGGGACCUUCGGGCCUCUUGCCAUCAGAUGUGCCCAGAUGGGAUUAGCUAGGAGGUGGGGUAACGGCUCACCUAGGCGACGAUCCCUAGCUGGUCUGAGAGGAUGACCAGCCACCCUGGAACUGAGACACGGUCCAGACUCCUACGGGAGGCAGCAGUGGGGAAUAUUGCACAAUGGGCGCAAGCCUGAUGCAGCCAUGCCGCGUGUAUGAAGAAGGCCUUCGGGUUGUAAAGUACUUUCAGCGGGGAGGAAGGGAGUAAAGUUAAUACCUUUGCUCAUUGACGUUACCCGCAGAAGAAGCACCGGCUAACUCCGUG